Molecule: long non-coding RNA, 961 nt
Filed under: Ananas comosus (pineapple)
Lineage: Eukaryota; Viridiplantae; Streptophyta; Magnoliopsida; Poales; Bromeliaceae
Description: long non-coding RNA (ACOM_LNC008771)
Source: RNAcentral
AAACUUAAGAUCUAUAUUUGAGAAUAAAUUAUUAUUUGAAGAUUUAUUUAAAAUAGAUAAAAUAUAUUUUAUAUUUGAGAACACAGAGAAUUGGUGUUGAAUAUUUUGGUAAAAAUAUUUAAAAUUAUAUUUAAUUAACGAUUUUGUUUUGAUUGGGCAGGUAUUAAUUUUUUUAAAAAAUAUUCUAUGCUUUUACGACGCAUUAUUUAAAUAUUGAAUAUUUUGUUAAAAAUAUUUAAAAUUAUAUUUAAUUAACGAUUUAGUUUUGAUUUGGGGUAUUAAAAUAUUUUUAACAAUAUUUAAUGCUUUUAUGGUGCGCCAAAUUUUAAUACUCGUCAAAAUUAAAUCUACUAUUUAUUUAAGGAAAAACCUACUAUCAUAAAUUAAAAUUAAAAUUAUCAAAUUCGCGGGUAUUAAAUUUAUGCGGGCAUUACAAAUUUUAAUUUUAAUUUUGAAUACUAUAUGUUGGCAGCAAAUAAAUUUAAUUUUAUAUAUUACGUGAUUAGCGAAGGUAUUGCAUGAUUGGCGGGUAUUACGUUAGAUAAGAGAUAAAUUUAGUUUUACGUAUGGUUGGUAGAAAAAAAAAAUAUGAGAAACGCGGAGUAGAUAGGAGAUAACGGAUAUAGAGGGUAUUUUUGUCAACAAAAAUGACAGAUACUUUUAUUUUUAUUCGUUGGAUGAGAUUUAAUGGCGAAAACUUAAGAUCUUUAUUUAAGAAUAAAUUAUUAUUUAAAAAUUUAUUUAAAAUGAGUGGUUGAAAUUUACUGGACAUGACAGUAUUAGUAAAAAAGAUAGAGACAUUUUUGGAAAGGAAAAAAUUUCAAAACUCACGCUUUUAUAAGUAGUAUAGAUAUAGAUAAAUAUAUAACUUUCAUAUAUAGUAUUUUAUUAUUAUCAAAACAACGAUAGUAAUAAUAAAUAAAAUUACAGUAUUCUAAAAAAAAGCAUAAAACUCAUAACU